RNAcentral lists this ribosomal RNA (253 nucleotides) under uncultured bacterium. Its description in RNAcentral is "partial 16S ribosomal RNA". It matches the Rfam family "Bacterial small subunit ribosomal RNA", at positions 524 to 776 of the family's 1533-position model. The record is from RNAcentral.
UACGGAGGGUGCGAGCGUUGUUCGGAAUUAUUGGGCGUAAAGCGCGCGUAGGCGGGACGACGAGUCCGGUGUGAAAUCCCUCGGCUCAACCGGGGAAUUGCACUGGAUACUGGCGACCUUGAGUCCUGGAGAGGGUGGCGGAAUUCCCAGUGUAGAGGUGAAAUUCGUAGAUAUUGGGAGGAACACCGGUGGCGAAGGCGGCCACCUGGACAGUGACUGACGCUGAGGCGCGAAAGCAUGGGUAGCAAACAGG